Molecule: long non-coding RNA, 1399 nt
Organism: Rosa chinensis
Lineage: Eukaryota; Viridiplantae; Streptophyta; Magnoliopsida; Rosales; Rosaceae
Exons: 5
Source: RefSeq, a predicted model, not a curated record
ACUAAAAUUAAAGUUUGGCCGCUCAAUAAGAUUUCGUCCGUUGCCUUAAAGGGCUUGGGAAGAAGAGAAGCACACAAAAUUUCAGAUUCCGUCGCAGAUUGUUAACUUCUCACGCGCAGAUCCCACAUUAAUUGAAUUGAAAAUUCAUUUGUUUGUGAGUUUUUUAUUAUUAAAGAAUAAAUUAAUCUAUCCGUCGCCCACUGGUUUCUCCGAGUGGUUUCGUAUUAUAUAAAGGUUUCAGUCGCCUUUGUUUAUGUUUCCUCCCUCGCACUCUGACUGUGAUCUUCAGCCUCCGUCCAACGGCGAGUGACAACUCACCCACCAAAUGAUGCAUCGGAGGAAGAUGACCAAAAUCUCGACAAUUAAUUCGUUGAUUGUAGUUUCUCACAGCUACCCAGCCAUAUUGAUUGUCGUUAGAUCUGUCGGUCGGUGAUCGCUGCUCUCCGGACACUUCCUAGCCAGAAGCCAACAUCGGUGUCUGUCCCCGUGUCAUGAACCUGUUCAUUUUCUUAAGCCAAGUGAACGUACUCUACUUAUGCAGAUAGUGAAGCUGCAUAUAAGUGUCUCAAAGAGAGAUAUGGGACCAAGCAGGAGGACAUAAUCCUCUAUGGUCAAUCUGUCGGAAGUAGCCAUACUAUUGAUUUUGCUGCCCGUUUGCCUCGACUAAGAGCAAUUGGGCUGCAUAGUCUGUUAUUAGAAGAUAAUCGAGCUGGUGAGCGAGUCACUGUUGAUUCAAGGAAGAAAAAUCCUGCUGAUUUUGCUUUAUGGAAGUCUGCAAAGGAAGGUGAACCCUUCUGGGACAGUCCAUGGGCACUGGAAGACCUGGUUGGCAUAUCGAGUGCAGUGCCAUGAGUACUACUUAUCUGGGUUACUCUUUUGACAUACAUGGUGGAGGGAUGGACCUUCUGUUUCCCCCACACGAGAAUGAAAUUGCUCAGAGUUGUGCUGCUUGUAAACAAAGUUAUAUAAGCUACUGGAUACACAAUGGUUUUGUCACUAUAGACUCUGAAAAAAACUUGUUGGGAACCAUCAUUCUAAUGGUUCAGUAUCUAGCUUUAGAGUCAAAUUCUUGUCUGAUUUAAUGCUUACGUUAUAAAUAUUUGAUAUUUCAGGUAAAGUGACUCGGUCACCAGCUCGAUUAUCCUCUAUGUAUUCUGUGAAGUGCAGUUGUUGGUUUGAUAUCCACAUGAACAUUGAUAAAUUCCCUCUGGUGAAAUAUCCUGUGCUGGUAAUACAUGGUUAUGUGAACAAUUUGAUGCAAGGGAGAAGUUACAGCAGUCAAUGGAGGAUUGUUCAGCAUCAUUGGGAGUAUUCAAUGUCUAGUAAUUGACUUUGUAAAUUUUCAUUUAAGUAUAGGGUAGGUGUUGAGACUAGUAUUGUAUUUGGUAGCUUGUACGUA